GAGCGGACAGGCAGAGAAGAAGAGGGAGGGAGCGAGGGAAGGAGGGACGGCCACGCGCAGCGGCGGCGGCGGCGGCAGCAGCAGCAGCAGCAGCGGAGAGAGGGCUUGAGGCGCAGGUAAGUUUUGGAGGGUGAUUGGUGGACGAAAUCUUGGCCCUGGUGCGGUCCGGCGCAAGAAAGCCGAGGACCAAAACAACCUCCCCGUGAGGCUGAAUGAGAAUGGAAAAUGAAUUGUGAAUCCGAAGCAGAACAUCUACUUAUUAUAGGCUGAGAGGCAGUGACGGGUCCAGCUCACCCAGGAGCUGAAGACAAGAUACACUGCUCUUUUUUCCAAUAUUUUUCCUUAAAUAAACCUGCCCAAUAGUCAGGUUGAGAGAGUGGCUGGACUACAUGAAUUCCCAUGGUUUUGGAUAGAUCAUCGCCUGGAUGUCCUCAGUCCAACAAUUCAGAUUUUCAAAUUAUUAUCAUGAACCAGGACAAGGAAGAUUGUGAGCAAAAAGUGGAAGGGUAUAACAUUUUUUUACAAAUCUAAUCAUGCUUGCAUGGACAAAACAUGAUAGGUGUCAAGCUUCACUCCAGGCUUUGAUGUCUGCUUUGCCCAUGCAUACUUGCAAAGUUUGAUAACCCAUAUGUAUGUAGAUUAACCUUUAAGUUGAUAAAAUUGGGUGGUAUAUUGAUUUCUUGCCCAACUUUGACCUUAGUGAAACCCCAAUAAAAUUUUAUGCAUCAGGAAAGAAGGAAGGAAAUAAUUUCUUUCUUGUUAGCUUUAUAUAUGAAAAACUGACUCUGAGGAAAACACAACUGAUUAAAUUUUAAAGAAAAAAGAGCAUUUACUCAAUUAAUAGUUAUCAAAAUAAUGAGUAUAAAGAAGUUGCUAUUUAAAUGAGCAAUCUUGUUUCUAAUUUAAAAAGUAUAUUCACAGUAUGGAACUAUAUUGCUUAAAAGUUAGCUUCUGAUCUCUAUUUUCAAUGAACACUUAAAAUAUUCAAAAAAAGAUUUAUAUCAAAUACAGCAAUUCUUAACAAUAAUCAGUCAUUGAUGAAAAAUUACCAUAACACAUUUCCUCUGGUGGUAUUCAAACUUUGAUCUUUCAAAGCAAGCAAACUACACUUUUGCAAAUAAGGUGUGAGAUUAAAACAAGAAUAUUGCUUUCUUAAGAGCCAUGACACAAGAUGAGCAUUUUUUAAAAGUUGUACAGCAACAGGAAUCAUGGAGAUAUUGAAAAAUUAAAAAAAAUGGGAAAGAAUAUGACACCUUUGCUAAUCUUCAUAAAGCUCUUAUCUAAAUUUGCAUCCCCAAAAAGUAAGAGCCACUAAAAUCAAUUAAAUAUAUUUCUGAAGAAUCUUGCCAAUAAAGAAUUGCACUGUAAGCCUGUAUUAAAAAGAGUGACCCUUCUGUCAAUAUUUAAGCAUGGAUAUAAGACAUGAUCUCAAGGUUGUGAUCCCAAUAUUGAUUUUUACCAUAGCUUGCAAACACUUUUGUUAAAAAGCUUCAUAUAUAAACAAAACUUACAUUGAGAGAUAAUCUAUCUGAAGUUCACAACAAAAGCAGGAGUGUUUUGUACCUGCUUUGUAUGAACUGAGCAGGGGGACUAAGCUCCACAUUCCCAGCUCAAAGCUUUCUAAAGAUGAUAAUGACAUCAUACGUAACUUUGCUACAUGUUUAAUCAACUAAGCUGCUUGCUUUCUGUACCUUAACGUGCUUUUGAAUAAGCAGCUAAGGUAGAAUGUGUUGUUCAUAACGCCAAGCUCUGAAUUUGGGCUGGUUCAAACAUGCCCUACAGAAAAUUAUUCUUCGGUGAUUUUAAACUAUUGCAGGCUGUUUCCAGAGCUUUUUCAAUACUAAACAUAUUGAAAGGCAUGUGCAAACGUAUUUCGCACAGCAGUCCCUCAAGAAAUUUUGGCAGCCACCUUUCAAAUUAUAGUGUCAUCCGCAAAUACACCUUACAUCAGAAACUGUGUCUAAAUAUAAUUGCAAGUGUCCCUCUGGCCUUCGAUUAUAGUUGUGGGGGUGGGUAAAACGUUCAUAGCAUAUUCCACCCAGAUUAAUUCCAUAAAAUGCUAAGGUGAAAUAGGUUGGCAGAUAAAAACCUUGUUAGCUGCGCAUUUAAGCAUUUAGAAAUCAAUGACAUUUGUGGUAACUCUGCAACCCAAGCAAAGCUUUGAUCACAAGAUUAGAAAAAUUUUAAUGAGCUACUAAAUGUGGCACACAGAGAGCCAGUUUGUAUAGUGGUUAAGGCAUUGGGUGAUAAUGCUGCUUUUAAUCGCAUGUUUUAAAAACAUCUUGCCUUCAUUUGAUUUUGGGAAAAAGUACUGGAUUAUAUAAAAAUAAUUGUGCGACCAGAACUAAAUUUUUCAGAUGAUAAUAUUUUCUUCCAGCAUUGAAUAAUAAAUGUGUGGCCCUUUUCAUUCAGUGGGUUGAAGACCUGAUUGCACUUGCCAUCAACGAGCAUAAUACCUAUAAUGUAGAUGUACAU
Ahaetulla prasina is the source of this 2475-nucleotide long non-coding RNA. RefSeq lists it as uncharacterized. The transcript is spliced from 3 exons. The record is from RefSeq and is a predicted model, not a curated record. Lineage: Eukaryota; Metazoa; Chordata; Lepidosauria; Squamata; Colubridae.